RNAcentral lists this ribosomal RNA (426 nucleotides) under uncultured bacterium. Its description in RNAcentral is "bacterial SSU rRNA". It matches the Rfam family "Bacterial small subunit ribosomal RNA", at positions 356 to 774 of the family's 1533-position model. The record is from RNAcentral.
GGGGAAUUUUGGACAAUGGGCGCAAGCCUGAUCCAGCCAUGCCGCGUGCAGGAUGAAGGCCCUCGGGUUGUAAACUGCUUUUGUACGGAACGAAAAGCCUCUUUCUAAUAAAGAGGGGUGAUGACGGUACCGUAAGAAUAAGCACCGGCUAACUACGUGCCAGCAGCCGCGGUAAUACGUAGGGUGCGAGCGUUAAUCGGAAUUACUGGGCGUAAAGCGUGCGCAGGCGGUCUUGCAAGACAGUGGUGAAAUCCCCGGGCUCAGCCUGGGAACUGCCAUUGUGACUGCAAGGCUGGAGUACGGCAGAGGGGGAUGUAAUUCCGCGUGUAGCAGUGAAAUGCGUAGAUAUGCGGAGGAACACCGAUGGCGAAGGCAGUCCCCUGGGCCUGUACUGACGCUCAUGCACGAAAGCGUGGGGAGCAAACA